This is a non-coding RNA of Danionella cerebrum, 78 nucleotides long. The record is from the annotation of a GenBank genome assembly. NCBI's taxonomy places the organism in Eukaryota, Metazoa, Chordata, Actinopteri, Cypriniformes, Danionidae.
UUUCCUGUGGCUCAGUUGGUAGAGCGUUGCGCUAACAGCGCAAAGGUUGUGGGUUCAAAGCAAGAACUGACAGAAAAU